This 1884-nucleotide long non-coding RNA is filed under the name Lynx canadensis (Canada lynx). RNAcentral's name for it is "lncRNA (ENSLCNG00005008863.1)". Lineage: Eukaryota; Metazoa; Chordata; Mammalia; Carnivora; Felidae. The record is from RNAcentral.
CGGACCGCUCACUAACUGAGCACCUAGUACGCGCCCGCGCGGGGCCGGGAGCCGGCCGGGCCAGGCGGCGGGGAGCACGCCUGCCUUCAGGGAGCUUCCAUGGGAGGCGGGGAGCGGGGAGACAGCUGCUGUGAAGAAGCACGAGCGGCCGGACACGGACAAGUUAGGGAGAGCCUCCCCGAGGAUGCGAUGACUGCGCGCCAGGAGCCAGAAAGCACAUGAGGGAGAAUGCCACUACAUCAAGGGGCCAGAGCAUUCCAAAGACAAAAACCCGGCCCCUGGCGUCUUCUGGAAGGGGAAGAAGCCGCGCAGCGGGAGGACGGGAACCCGGGAGGGGAGGCCAGGGAAGCAAGGAGAGGCAGGCUGGGCAGAUGAUGGAAGAGCCGGGCAAAGCGUCUGGUUUUCAUUCUAAGAUCAACUGGAAGCUGGAAGGCAGAGAGAGGACGAACCGAUCCCCCCCGCUGCCGAGGGAGGGUGCCAGAGGAAGCGGGGCCCUCGGUUGGGAGGCCACGGCAGCGCCGCCCGCCCUCCCCUUCAGCGACUGGCUGGUUUUUGCCGCAGUCCCUGACCAAGGUAAACAGAAGAGGGAAGUGGGAAGAAUGCUUCGUUUCCAUGGCAACCCAGAGGGCAGUCGGUGCGGCGCUCUUGGAUGUGCUUCAGGGGAAGAAAAGGCUCACUGGAAAAGCAACGGGGAGACCGGCCCCUUCCACAGACGCACGAGUGAGCUGGAGAUGCCCACCCUCCCCCCUCCAGGGGACAGGUGCUUUCCAUUUGUCGCCACGUCACUCCAGCUGCUGACCACAACUCCUGCACGCUGAGGGCAUCAGAAACCUCUUCUGGUUUCCAGGCUUCAUAAGAGAUUCGUCAGAAACUGGCUCCACCUCAGGCAUGGGCCUUCCUGGCUUGGGGCGGGGGGCGGGGGCGGGGUUGGGGUGGGGGGGUUCACUGUUCGGUUCUCACCUUUGUAGGCAGAAAUGGGAGAAAACCUGGGACAGAAGGAGGUGGGAGGCAGUAAGCUUCCUGCCCCCCGCAAAGCAGAAAGAACGUGGAUGCUUUGUGGGAAGCUGGAGGGAGGUGCCUCAGUUUCCCCGGGCAGAUGCAUCGAGAACCCUGGCAGCGGGACUACAGGCCUGGGAAGUGCUCACCUACACGUCGUGCAGUCCACACCCUUCUCCUUGAGUGGGCCCUUAGACGCUGUGGUCUGCCUGGAAGACGCCUUCAGGACAGGACCCAGGGCUGGGAGGGAACACCUGCAGAGAACAGGAUCGACAGACUUGCUUUUCCCUUGCAAAACACCCCAAAGUGCCAGGUUUACUCAGCUCUUUCCAUGGCUCACGGAUUCCAAAUUUCUGUGACCUUAACUCCUGCCGCUGCCCCUUUGCUCGUUCUAUUCCAGCUCCCCUUUGCUGUUCCUUGACCAGUCAGGUUUCCAUGCCAGGUCCAUGGCACUGGCUGUGCCCUGGAAAGCUCUUUCUCCAGCAUCCACAUGGCCAAUCUCUCGCCUUCAGUUCUUUAUUCAAAUGUCAUCUCAACGAGGCAGGGCCAGGGUGAGGUAAACAAGGCAACACGGUCUUCCCUGACCCUUGGUUUAAAUUGUAUGUUUCCAGGGGCUCCUGAGUGGCUCAGUCACUUAAACGUCCAACUUCAGCUCAGGUCAUGAUCUCGCAGUUCAUGGGUUCGAGCCCCGCGUCGGGCUCUGUGCUGACAGUUCAGAGCCUGGAGCCUGCUUCAGAUUCUGUGUCUCCCUCUCUCUCUCUGCCUCUCCCCUGCUCGCCCUCUGUCUCUCGCUCUCAAAAAUAAAUAAAACAUUAAAAAAAAUAUUUUAAAAAUUGUGUAUUUCCACCCCCGCUAGAUCUCCCUUAUCCCCUUCACACCCUGUCACUU